Molecule: ribosomal RNA, 900 nt
Filed under: uncultured bacterium
Lineage: Bacteria
Description: bacterial SSU rRNA
Rfam family: Bacterial small subunit ribosomal RNA
Source: RNAcentral
GUUUGAUCCUGGCUCAGGAUGAACGCUAGCGGCAGGCUUAACACAUGCAAGUCGAGGGGUAGGUUACUUCGGUAACUGAGACCGGCGCACGGGUGCGUAACGCGUAUACAAUCUACCUUUUACAGAGGGAUAGCCCAGAGAAAUUUGGAUUAAUACCUCAUAGUAUUUUUGAAUGGCAUCAUUUGAUUAUUAAAGUUCCAACGGUAAAAGAUGAGUAUGCGUCCCAUUAGCUAGAUGGUAAGGUAACGGCUUACCAUGGCUACGAUGGGUAGGGGUCCUGAGAGGGAGAUCCCCCACACUGGUACUGAGACACGGACCAGACUCCUACGGGAGGCAGCAGUGAGGAAUAUUGGACAAUGGGCGCAAGCCUGAUCCAGCCAUGCCGCGUGCAGGAAGAAGGUCCUAUGGAUUGUAAACUGCUUUUAUACAGGAAGAAACACCUCUACGUGUAGAGACUUGACGGUACUGUAUGAAUAAGGACCGGCUAACUCCGUGCCAGCAGCCGCGGUAAUACGGAGGGUCCAAGCGUUAUCCGGAAUCAUUGGGUUUAAAGGGUCCGUAGGCGGCCAAAUAAGUCAGUGGUGAAAGCCCAUCGCUCAACGAUGGAACGGCCAUUGAUACUGUUUGGCUUGAAUUAUUAGGAAGUAACUAGAAUAUGUAGUGUAGCGGUGAAAUGCUUAGAGAUUACAUGGAAUACCAAUUGCGAAGGCAGGGUUACUACUAAUAUAUUGACGCUGAUGGACGAAAGCGUGGGGAGCGAACAGGAUUAGAUACCCUGGUAGUCCACGCCGUAAACGAUGGAUACUAGCUGUUCGGAGCAAUCUGAGUGGCUAAGCGAAAGUGAUAAGUAUCCCACCUGGGGAGUACGUUCGCAAGAAUGAAACUCAAAGGAAUUGACGG